RNAcentral lists this ribosomal RNA (1359 nucleotides) under Triticum aestivum (bread wheat). Its description in RNAcentral is "partial small subunit ribosomal RNA". The record is from RNAcentral. Lineage: Eukaryota; Viridiplantae; Streptophyta; Magnoliopsida; Poales; Poaceae.
AUGGAUCAGGGCACCCACAGUCGAUGGAGGAGUCCAUUUCCCGGGUCGCCCAUGGAGCGCGUGGACGCGCAUGGCGGUGGCCUCAAGGCGCUGGAGGUGGACGUGGAGCAGCAAGAGGAGAUAAUCGACUUCGAGGCAGAGCCGCCGGGCUCCUCUGAAUCGGUCGAGAUCUCCAACCUCAAGAAGCGCAUGUGGAAGGACCAGAUGCGCCUCAUGAAGCUCGAGGGCCGUGCCGGCGCCAGGAGCGGUGCGCCGGCCCGGCGGCAGCUGGAGGACCAGGAGGAGGACGGUCCCGAGGCGCGGUGCCGGCGGAAGGCGAUGCUGCGCGCGCAGGACGGCGUGCUCUGGCACAUGAUGAAGAUGAUGCAGUCCUGCAACGCGCGCGGGUUCGUGUACGGCGUGAUCGACGAGGCCGGCGAGCCCACGUCCGGCUCCUCCGACAGCCUCCGCGGCUGGUGGAAGGACAAGGUCGUCUUCGACCGCAGGGGCCCGAAGGCCCUCAUCACCGGCAGCUCCGCCGCCGCCGGUAGCAGCAGCCCGCUGGGGCUUGCCUCCUACCUCCACCGCCUCCAGGGCAUCCAGGACAACACGCUGGGCUCGGUGCUCUCGGCGCUCCUCCAGCACUGCGAGCCGCCGCAGCGCAACUUUCCCCUGGAGCGGGGCCUGGCGCCGCCGUGGUGGCCGACGGGGAAGGAGCCGUGGUGGGGCACGCAGGGCGAGACGCAGGCCCACCAGGGGGCGCCGCCGUACCGGAAGCCGCACGACCUGAAGAAGGCGUGGAAGGUGUCCCUGCUGAGCGCGGUGAUCAAGCACAUGAGCCCGCGCUUCGACCAGAUGCGCAGGCUCGUGUGGCAGUCCAAGCGGCUGCAGCAGAGGAUGAGCGCCAAGGAGUCCGACACCUGGUCCAAGGUGCUCCGGCAGGAGGAGGCGCUCAGCGGCCGGCUCAAGAGCUCGCUUCGGAUCACGCCCCUCGACGACGACUACGACGACGGCGAGGGGCUGGAGGACGGCCCGGAAGACGUGGCGCGUGGCCCGCAUGACAAGCGCAAGUGCGAGGGCGUCCCGAGCGGCAGCUCGGGCGGGAAGUGCCGCCGCAGGCCAAGAGGCGGGAGCCGGGACCUGGCUGCGGUGGUGCCCGGGCUCGAGGCCGGAGUCCUCGCCGAGGAGAGCCAGAGCCCCAUCAACGAGCUCAUGGAGCUGUACUACAGCUGCCUGCAGGGGGGCGGUGCGGAGGAGAAACACGACGUGGCGAUGCAGGGAGCGCCGGGAGGCGUCGAUGAUGUGGCGCAGCAAUUCCUGAUGGAUGUCAUCGGGAGCUGCCCGGAAGUAGAUCAUGUGCUGCGCUUGAUGGAGGAGUGA